GGGAGUCUGGCCGAGUGGUUAAGGCGCUGUGUUUAGGUGGGACGAAAGUCCAUCCAAACGAUCCAAAAAGAUCCGUAAAGACCGCAGUGGGAAACCGCGCAGGUUCGAAUCCUGCGGCUCUCA
This 123-nucleotide transfer RNA is filed under the name Lachnellula cervina. It matches the Rfam family "tRNA". From Rfam's summary of the family: Transfer RNA (tRNA) molecules are approximately 80 nucleotides in length. Their secondary structure includes four short double-helical elements and three loops (D, anti-codon, and T loops). Further hydrogen bonds mediate the characteristic L-shaped molecular structure. tRNAs have two regions of fundamental functional importance: the anti-codon, which is responsible for specific mRNA codon recognition, and the 3' end, to which the tRNAs corresponding amino acid is attached (by aminoacyl-tRNA synthetases). tRNAs cope with the degeneracy of the genetic code in two manners: having more than one tRNA (with a specific anti-codon) for a particular amino acid; and 'wobble' base-pairing, i.e. permitting non-standard base-pairing at the 3rd anti-codon position. Lineage: Eukaryota; Fungi; Ascomycota; Leotiomycetes; Helotiales; Lachnaceae. The record is from Rfam by way of RNAcentral.